CACCACCCGUCACAUUAUAGGAGCUGGCCAUGUUUGAAGUCAUUACCCUUAACCAUAAAGAGGGGGAUGCCUAAGGCUAGGCUUGCGACUGGAGUGAAGUCGUAACAAGGUAGCCGUACUAGAAGGUGCGGUUG
Molecule: ribosomal RNA, 134 nt
Filed under: Oryza longistaminata (longstamen rice)
Lineage: Eukaryota; Viridiplantae; Streptophyta; Magnoliopsida; Poales; Poaceae
Description: rRNA SSU_rRNA_eukarya
Rfam family: Bacterial small subunit ribosomal RNA
Source: RNAcentral